UAAAUUUAGAAAUCAGAAGAGUUGAAAGAAAAUAUGUGGAAAAAAUUGUUUUUAUUGAAUUGCAGAUUCAGCUAUUCCCAGUUUCACUUUCACUUGCUGGAUCAUAAUGAUCAUAAUGUCCAAUGUCUUCUUCCAAUUUAAUUUUAGUGUCGUCCUUCUAAAGUAAAUAUGCUUGAGAGUAGGCAUACUUACUGUUAGGAGAUGGUACACCUCUUUGGUUCAUCUCCAGUGUACUCAUUCAUAAUAAUGUAACUUUGGCAUAAAUUGCUCAUUGCCUUCUGUCUUUUCUCCAAUAAUGUAGCCAACGUAUUUUGAGUAAUGUUGCUUCUGAAAACAAAUACAUCUCCUUAGCUUUCAUCUUGAAAUAUUUAAACUUGAAAUCUGAAUUGCAGCGCUGCAUCACAGUCAAUGUCCAGCAGCACAAAGUUAUUUUCUUGCACCUCUGGUGAAUUCAUAUCUUGUCAGUAAUCAGUGAGUUUCUACUUCUCAGGUGCAUGUUUAUUUUUCUAGACUAAAUUGAUCAGUCGUGGUUUCAGCCAUUUUUACCUUGGAGUUUGUACCCUGUGAUUUGAGGGCCUUGGAAGGCUUUUGAAGGUCGAAUAUUCUAAUAUCUGAGCUUACACUUUCAAGAGAAGGUAAUUGGAAUAUAGGCAUCUAUGUCUGAUGGUAUUUGGAAGAUCUCAGCUGAUGUCGUCUUUUCUUUUUCACUUUGGGACCAUAAGAGAAGCAGCAACCUUUGUGGAAGAGUACAGCCUUUGGAGUCAAACCAAAUUAGAUUAAAAUUCCAGAACUACUACGACCUUGGACCAAUUGCUUAGUAUCUUUGAAACACAGUUUCUUCCUCUGUAAAAUAAGGAUUAUAAUACCCACCUUAGUAAUUUUUUUAACCAUUUCCCACAUGUCAGGCAUCAUUUUCACAUGGACUAAAGGCAAGCAUUAUGAUCCUUCACACUUUACAAGUUACUAUACAGAGGUUUAGAGAGGUUAAAAAAACACCCAAGAACAUACAUAGUUGUUAAGUAGUGGGUCCUCUUGUUGAUUCUCUUAUUUCAGUAGAAUUUGUUUUUAGAAAAGGACGCGCAGGGUCCAAAAAUAUAUACUUAAUAAAUAUAGUUUCCCCCAUGUGAUUUAGUUUAAGCCCUUGGGUAUAUAUUAGAGAUAUACUAAAGUAUUAAUACUGCAGUGUUAAAGCUGUAAUUUCUAUUUCACCCAUGUUGCUGCAUCACAUACUGAUGCUGUUUGAGAGUGUGCUUUUAAGUGGCUGUGGAGGACUAUAUGCUAUGAGAGCUGCUUUAUGCUUUUCUUUUUGAAGAUGUUGAUGGUGCUCUCAUCUUGAUGAGCACAACUCCUUUUCAGUAAAGAUUCUGGAUAAAUGUCUGUUGCAUGGAAUUGAAUGCUAGUCUACAAGGCAAUUUUUAUACCUUAGAUGAAGAGUGGAUGCCAUUUGCAGAAGAACUUGACAUUCUCAGGGAGUCAUUUUAUAGCCUAAAAGAAUUUUAUAUUUGUGAUUGUAUGACUCUGGAUAAAGAAUAAAAAAAAGAAUGAUUUACUUGGAAUUUAAAACUUUCAUUCCACUGUGGCUUCAUCUGCUGCCCAUUUGCAGGACACUGAUAACUUCAACUUCUUCUCCUGCUUCAUCUGCAGGCUCUUGAAGUCUGUGGGAUGUCCAAGUGUGUAUAGAAACUCGGAAAUAGCACAGUCCCUCUGGUUAAGAAUAACAUGUCAGUUUUCUUUUCUUGCUUUUGUGUGCUCUCUGGAGCUCACCCAUGCAUGAUGUUCCAGUGGACUUCAAAGGCAAGUCUAUGGUUGGAUUAGCUCCACAGGACAGAGAGCAAGAUUUGAGGUUAACAUGAGCAUAAUGUCCUGGAUGAAGCUUUGGAAGUACUUGUGAAGGAUUCUCAGGAUGAUGGAGUGAGUGAUGGAAUAGGUUGCCAACUGUAGUUACUCCACUCAGCGCAGAAUGGCUGCAGGGAAAUAUAAUCAGACAUGCCCAAAGAAGUCUGCUUAGGGUGAAACAAAUACCUUUGAGGUUUAAAUCAGAAAGGAAGGAGAGACUGUUUCUACAGGUGUCAUAGAAAAAUCAAUACUGAGCCAAGGAUUAUUGGAUCCCAUAGAACCAUGGAGGCGUGGCAGUGAAAUUCUCCCAAAGGCAGACGGUGUUCCUAGGUUUGGAAAUAUAAAUCCCAUGGGAAGUCAGCUGAAGAACAUUUUAUGCAUCACUUAUCCUGUUACGAGCCCUGUGCUGUUCUGUCUCUCUAUAAGACUGGCUGAAACCACAACGGUUGUUUGCAAUCUGCACUCUAACUUUGGAUCACCUAGUUAAUACUCUGACUCUGAUUAUUACCAAAGACAAUAUUCUCUAAAAGAUAUUCUCUAUAAGAAGGAUGCUCCUGCAUUAUUAAUAACAUCACAGGGAAAAUGCAACAUUUUGGAUGUCACAUCUGAUAAGUGGGUGACUGAUCAUACCCGCCGGCUGGCUAAUGUCAUAAUUAACAAAGUUGCUACUACAUCGGCAAAGUUUAAUCGAAAAAUUUGCCAGUGAUAUGAUGGCAUUGUCACAGAGAUCACAAGGGACACGGAGUCGACUUUUGCUCAAGAUGGAACGACAGAGCUGUGUAGGCAAGAUGAGAAAUUGCAAACUUGUUCGGCCAAAGGAGGCUAAUAAUGAAGGGGCCGGGAAGGAGGCCAGUGCUACCAGGGUUAUCUCACAACCUCAGAUGCUGGAUAAGUCGAAGGAGGCAGAAUCGCUUUGGGAUGACAUUCAGAAAGGCUGGAGUGAUUACUUGGAAGAGAAAAGCCUACCUAUUCUUUCCAAGGUUCAGGAAUAUUCCCCUGACCUGCUCAUCCAAUGGUCCAGUAAUGAAUUACUGGAGACCUGCCUUAGACAAAGAAUGCACUCGGAGCCCCAACACACCUAAAGCCACGCUUUGAAGGAUCUGCCAAGCUCACUUUUAAUCAUGAGAAAGAAAUUACCCACACGGAGUCAGCAGAAAAUGAGAAAGUAGAGCUCGUGCUGUGAAUAAUUCUAGCAAGUGCCAAGGGGCUAGUUGAGGAAUGGCUACAUGAGAUGUUAGUCUAAAACAGCACCUUGGAUCUAAGCAGCACCUUUGAGAAAGAAAAGACUGCUUCAAGAAUGUCUAGCUGCACCUCCUUUCCAUAUGUGGCCUAAGUGCCUAGGUUGGAUCAAUAGUUUAAUUUUUUUAUUGAACUGUUUGAUGUUGACUAUGGACUUACGUUCACUUUUACUGUUUUCUGUAUAUUUAUUUUUGCUUGAACUGUUUUAAUAUUGACUAUUUACCUCUGCUCAUUUUUAUUGAUUUUCUGUAUUUUUUCAAUGAAAAUUAUAAUAAAAAUUAGUUUUUGUUAU
This is a non-coding RNA of Macaca mulatta (Rhesus monkey), 3367 nucleotides long. NCBI's taxonomy places the organism in Eukaryota, Metazoa, Chordata, Mammalia, Primates, Cercopithecidae. The record is from RefSeq and is a predicted model, not a curated record.